Long non-coding RNA from Exaiptasia diaphana, 227 nucleotides. RefSeq lists it as uncharacterized. The record is from RefSeq and is a predicted model, not a curated record. The transcript has 3 exons. Lineage: Eukaryota; Metazoa; Cnidaria; Anthozoa; Actiniaria; Aiptasiidae.
UGUCAACGAAGUCUUUGUGAAGCAAAUGAAUUUAUCAUACUUCAGAGAAGACCUUCCUGAUUUUGGAGUAUCCUAUAAGUCCUGGAGAUUGAACCAAUCAGUGCCAACUGUACARUUAAAAGGAACACCAGGUGAUGUACUGUAUAGAUACGUGGAUGGACAGACUGCWUUGUAUUUCACUGGKAAACAAGGAUAUGCACAUAUUCCUCUUGUYGAUAUCAAUCCCG